CUGGCUCAGGAUGAACGCUAGCGACAGGCCUAACACAUGCAAGUCGAGGGGCAGCACAAGGAGCAAUCUGAGGUGGCGACCGGCGCACGGGUGAGUAACACGUAUGCAACCUGCCUGUAAGCGGGGAAUAACCCGUUGAAAGACGGACUAAUACCGCAUAAUACUAAAUUACUGCAUGGUAAUUUAUUUAAACAUUUAUGGCUUACAGAUGGGCAUGCGCAUGAUUAGCUAGUUGGAGAGGUAACGGCUCCCCAAGGCAACGAUCAUUAGGGGUUCUGAGAGGAAGGUCCCCCACACUGGUACUGAGACACGGACCAGACUCCUACGGGAGGCAGCAGUGAGGAAUAUUGGUCAAUGGACGAGAGUCUGAACCAGCCAAGUCGCGUGCAGGAAGAAAUGUCCUAUGGAUUGUAAACUGCUUUUGCAGGGGAAUAAAGUGCAUCACGUGUGAUGUUUUGUAUGUACUCUGCGAAUAAGGAUCGGCUAACUCCGUGCCAGCCGCGGC
RNAcentral lists this ribosomal RNA (505 nucleotides) under uncultured bacterium. RNAcentral describes it as "bacterial SSU rRNA". It matches the Rfam family "Bacterial small subunit ribosomal RNA", at positions 19 to 518 of the family's 1533-position model. The record is from RNAcentral.